RNAcentral lists this ribosomal RNA (465 nucleotides) under Vreelandella stevensii. RNAcentral describes it as "partial 16S ribosomal RNA". It matches the Rfam family "Bacterial small subunit ribosomal RNA", at positions 338 to 795 of the family's 1533-position model. The record is from RNAcentral. Lineage: Bacteria; Pseudomonadati; Pseudomonadota; Gammaproteobacteria; Oceanospirillales; Halomonadaceae.
CCUACGGGUGGCUGCAGUGGGGAAUAUUGGACAAUGGGGGCAACCCUGAUCCAGCCAUGCCGCGUGUGUGAAGAAGGCCCUCGGGUUGUAAAGCACUUUCAGUGAGGAAGAACGCCUGGUGGUUAAUACCCAUCAGGAAAGACAUCACUCACAGAAGAAGCACCGGCUAACUCCGUGCCAGCAGCCGCGGUAAUACGGAGGGUGCGAGCGCUAAUCGGAAUUACUGGGCGUAAAGCGCGCGUAGGUGGCUUGAUAAGCCGGUUGUGAAAGCCCCGGGCUCAACCUGGGAACGGCAUCCGGAACUGUCAAGCUAGAGUGCAGGAGAGGAAGGUAGAAUUCCCGGUGUAGCGGUGAAAUGCGUAGAGAUCGGGAGGAAUACCAGUGGCGAAGGCGGCCUUCUGGACUGACACUGACACUGAGGUGCGAAAGCGUGGGUAGCAAACAGGAUUAGAUACCCUUGUAGUC